GAGUCUUCGGACUGCGGAAGAGUGGCGAACGGGUGAGGAACACGUAAGAAUCUGCCCCUCGGUCGGGGACAACUCUUGGAAACGAGAGCUAAUACCCGAUACGCUGUGGAGUGAAAGAAUUUCGCCGAGGGAUGAUCUUGCGUCUGAUUAGCUAGUUGGUGUGGUAACUGCACACCAAGGCGACGAUCAGUAGCUGGUCUGAGAGGAUGGACAGCCACAUUGGAACUGAGACACGGUCCAAACUCCUACGGGAGGCAGCAGUGGGGAAUUUUCCGCAAUGGACGAAAGUCUGACGGAGCGACGCUGCGUGAAGGAUGACGGCCCGCGGGUUGUAAACUUCUUUUCUCGAAGAAGAAACAAAUGACGGUAUUCGAGGAAUAAGCAUCGGCUAACUCCGUGCCAGCAGCCGCGGUAAGACGGAGGAUGCAAGUGUUAUUCGGAAUGAUUGGGCGUAAAGAGUCUGUAGGCUGUAUAGAAAGUCUUUUGUUAAAUUCCUCGGCU
RNAcentral lists this ribosomal RNA (501 nucleotides) under uncultured Micromonas. RNAcentral describes it as "bacterial SSU rRNA". It matches the Rfam family "Bacterial small subunit ribosomal RNA", at positions 74 to 609 of the family's 1533-position model. Lineage: Eukaryota; Viridiplantae; Chlorophyta; Mamiellophyceae; Mamiellales. The record is from RNAcentral.